UGGACAGAUUUUUGUAUUCAAUUGUGCUCACGGCGUAAAACAGGGGAUUACACUAUUUUUAAAUGGAAAGUGAAUCAAUUAACAUAAUAGACUCCU
Molecule: microRNA precursor, 96 nt
Filed under: Nicotiana sylvestris (wood tobacco)
Lineage: Eukaryota; Viridiplantae; Streptophyta; Magnoliopsida; Solanales; Solanaceae
Also listed under: 1 other name
Description: MIR6152 microRNA precursor family
Rfam family: MIR6152 microRNA precursor family
Source: Rfam by way of RNAcentral